Molecule: transfer RNA, 68 nt
Filed under: Syngnathus leptorhynchus (bay pipefish)
Lineage: Eukaryota; Metazoa; Chordata; Actinopteri; Syngnathiformes; Syngnathidae
Also listed under: 3 other names
Description: tRNA-Asp
Rfam family: tRNA
About the family: Transfer RNA (tRNA) molecules are approximately 80 nucleotides in length.
Source: RNAcentral
GAGAUGUUAGUAAAACAUUACACUGCUUUGUCAAGGCAGAAUUGCAAGUUAAACUCUUGCACAUCUUU